CAGAUUUGGUCUCUGGAAGCAAAGUUCUGUGACACUCGGACUCUGAUUAUGAUAGAAGUCAGUGCACUACAGAACUUUGUCGCCGGGGGCCGU
Molecule: microRNA precursor, 93 nt
Organism: Anolis carolinensis (green anole)
Lineage: Eukaryota; Metazoa; Chordata; Lepidosauria; Squamata; Anolidae
Gene: aca-mir-148a
Product: aca-mir-148a
Source: Ensembl